This 292-nucleotide long non-coding RNA is filed under the name Elaeis guineensis (African oil palm). RNAcentral's name for it is "long non-coding RNA (EGUI_LNC049389)". The record is from RNAcentral. Lineage: Eukaryota; Viridiplantae; Streptophyta; Magnoliopsida; Arecales; Arecaceae.
CCUAAUUAGGUUAAGUUCAAAGUAUUUGAGCUAAACUGAACCUGUUGUCUUUGAUCUAAUUGGAUUAGGUCUAUUUUAAUUGGACUCCUACCUAACUUGAAAGAGUUUCAAGUGUAGAAGGACUCCUCCAUGUCACUCUAAUUUCACACCAAAAAUUAAUUGCCAUCAUCCGCUUUUUAGCAUUAACAAGAGGAAGAGUCUUUCUUCCUUAUGACUCUUAACCACUUCUUAAUUUCCACUGAUUCCUUAAAUGUCAAAUGUCAGAAAUAAUUAUGAGAAUUAUGAGGCACAG